UGGGGAAUAUUGCACAAUGGGCGCAAGCCUGAUGCAGCCAUGCCGCGUGUAUGAAGAAGGCCUUCGGGUUGUAAAGUACUUUCAGCGGGGAGGAAGGCGAUAAGGUUAAUAACCUUGUCGAUUGACGUUACCCGCAGAAGAAGCACCGGCUAACUCCGUGCCAGCAGCCGCGGUAAUACGGAGGGUGCAAGCGUUAAUCGGAAUUACUGGGCGUAAGCGCACGCAGGCGGUCUGUCAAGUCGGAUGUGAAAUCCCCGGGCUCAACCUGGGAACUGCAUUCGAAACUGGCAGGCUAGAGUCUUGUAGAGGGGGGUAGAAUUCCAGGUGUAGCGGUGAAAUGCGUAGAGAUCUGGAGGAAUACCGGUGGCGAAGGCGGCCCCCUGGACAAAGACUGACGCUCAGGUGCGAAAGCGUGGGGAGCAAACA
This 426-nucleotide ribosomal RNA is filed under the name uncultured bacterium. RNAcentral's name for it is "partial 16S ribosomal RNA". It matches the Rfam family "Bacterial small subunit ribosomal RNA", at positions 355 to 774 of the family's 1533-position model. The record is from RNAcentral.